Long non-coding RNA from Jaculus jaculus (lesser Egyptian jerboa), 1247 nucleotides. RefSeq lists it as uncharacterized. The transcript has 4 exons. The record is from RefSeq and is a predicted model, not a curated record. Lineage: Eukaryota; Metazoa; Chordata; Mammalia; Rodentia; Dipodidae.
AUGUCGCGGCGGCGGUAGCAACUCCAGGCUGGCACAGUGACGGCAGUGCCAGGCGGCCGGACCUCCGCGCGGGGGCAGGUAGUCCCAGCUGCCGGCGCGCCAGCCCCCGAGCUUGUCGACCGACCAGUAGCGGCCGGGCGGAGGCCCGAGGCGCUCGGCAUACGGGUAGGGGAAAUCGGCGAACCACCAGGAUUCCAGACCGCCCAGCGAAGCGCCACCCAGGCUCUCCGAGUCCUCCGAGUCCGACGGCGACGGCUCCAGGUCCAGAUCCCCGAGAGCCACAGCCGCUCCAGCAUCUCGAUCUCAUCUGGGGACAGGGUCAGAGGUCACCUGCUAUGAGCACUCUCCCCUCGGAUAUGGAUUCCAGGCCAGCCCCCUUCCUCUCUCAAAGUGGACCCUGCUGUUAAGGCCUUCACCCCCUCCUCCCCAGGACCCAGGGGUUCUGCCCUCCCCUCUCCAGGGUAAGGUUUCCUGCCCAGCGCGGCCGCACCAUCCCCCAGGAACUGCAGCAGCGCCAGGUCGAUGGGCCGCUUCCAGCGGGAGCCCUUGUGCAGGGCGAUGCCAUAGCCUGUGGUGGCGAAGACCUUGCCCGAGCCAAUGGUGACCAGCUUGCAGCCCUCAUCCUUGCGCGCCAUGUAGUUGAGCACUGCAGCAUCAUAGAUGAAGGCAUCCAGUUUCCUGAGGACAGGGAUGGAGAAACAGGCCCAGAACCACACCAUGUCUUGCUUGUGUCGCCCCUCCGGGCCUAACUGCUAAGACUUGGUGGGAAGAGUAAGAUGGAUGUAGUCAUUCCCAUGGACUGGGAGCAUCACUGUCCUUCACAAUUCCCAGUGACGGACCGUUCGGCUAAUCUCCACCUCUCCAAGUCCCCUAGCCCAGGGAGCAGAAACCCAGCUGUUCUCAUUCCCAGCUGGCUCAUUCUGUGGGGGUUCGAGAGCUUUUUGGUCAUCUUUUGGCAGAUAUCAGUCUGAUAGAGAUGAAGAGCACAGCCUUCUUAUGUAAAUAGACAGGGACACAGGCUCCAAGUGAUAGAAAUGAGGAAUUAAUCCCCGUUUUGUAGGCGGGUAGUCAGAGUUACAGGCCAAAAAAGAAUAUUACCGAUUACAAGUCCAGAAGCUGAAUUCCAAAAAGCCCUGACUUACCAAGAUGUUGGCUGACCACCAGAACCUUGUGCCUUUGUUUUCUUUUUUAUCAAGAGCCUCCAUAUACAUUCAAAAUAGCUAAUCAUUACCAUGGGAUAUAUUUUA